GACGUGUCGAGGCAGUCGUCUUGGAACCUUUGUACGAGAAACAUCUUUCCGAAUAUAUAAACGUUUCGUCUAUCGAAAACUAUAUAACCUGAUUUAAAAAUUUACUCUUUAAAAAAUAAAUUGAAAAUUAUUUCGAUAAUUAUAAUAUUUAAUUAAAGAGCGUUUUCCGUGAUACAGAAUUUAGAGUAGUGAUAUUGUGCGUUUCUAGUUCAUAUCGUAUUAUGAACAACUUUGCAUUCUAAGAUUUCGAUAAUAAAUCGUUCGAAUUUGCGUCAGAGUAGUAAUGCCGUUUCACGAUCGUCAUCUUCCUUGUCGUCAAGGGGAAGGAACCUCGUUGAAAGGAAAAAGAAGGAAGAAAGUUGUAAAAAGAAAACUGUGCUGCGUUGGAAGGGACGUAGUAACAGUUAUGUCGAAGAAGAAGAAGGUAAGGCUGCGAGGGUGGGCUUUAUUAUGUCUGAGGAGGAGUCACGCGAGUAAGAAGCUAAGGAGAGAUAUAGCUUAAGCCGAGGACAAAAACUAGAACGGGGGUUUGCCUUCAGUGUCUUUUGCACGAGGGAUACGGGAUCACAUAAAGGGUUUUAUUAUGUCUCCCUUUUUCUCCCUUUCUGAGAAACCACAACGAAGAGCUAGCGGCUAACAAUAAGAGCGACACGUGCGCUCGUACACGCUACGUGCUCUCUUCGAUGAUUCGCGUAGAAAAUAUGUCCCCUCGGGAUUCGCAGAAAAACGGCUAAUCUUUGAAGACACCAAUUAAUGUAUUCGUUCGUAUUAAUAUCGUCGAUGAAUCGAAUUAAAGCCGCACCCCUCAUCGCCUAGCAUGGAAAUGAAAUUUCCAACACGGUAAUCCUCACUAAUAUCCAGAGAAUAACUAAAAUAACGUAACGGUGUCAUUGUCCCUUCGAGCCAACCGAUAUCGAUUGAUUCGAGUUAUCGUGGAAUCUCCUCUCGCUACCGACAUAUCCAUCACCUCUUCGAGCCGCGUAAAUAAAUUACGUUCGCGUGACAUUUACCUUCUAUGCUGGCACAGCUUUACCUUCGAUCCUUCUUUCACUCUUCCUCCCUUUUUAUCCUCUCCGCUUCUUCCUCUCAUUGCCUCUUACGAAAAAGAAACUUUUAUAAAAGAUAUGUUUUUCCUUCUCAAAGAGACGAAAACGUAGAGCCGCACGUGGUCACUCAAAGAGCUUUCCCAUGUGUGAAUAAAUCCAAGAAAAAGAGAUGGUUAUGUCAAACAGAUGGAAGAAAGAAAAGGAAGGCGAAACGAGUGCAGUCGAGAGGCAGUGAAUCGUCCUGUGGCAACCUCUUCGAUAGCGUAUUACCAACAUAAGCCUCGGACGAAUGUCCUUUUGAUUGCCAGCCCGUUAAGAAGGAUGAUACGUUUCCUUUUGAAUUCGCCAUGUUGCGUAAUUAACGUUCCCGCAAUUACGACUGUGUACCACCAAUUUGGAACCAUCUCCAACGUAAAUGGCGUUAAUUGCGCUACAAAGUUUCGUUCUUCAACAGGCUAAAAGAGCAUGUAGAGUGUUUCUUGUGUAUGUGAGUUGUUAAUAAUUAAGAUAUUGUAACUAGUUCAUUCAUAAAUUUCUACAGUUCAAGAAUCAAAGCGAAAGUAAAGGAUAAAUGCAUAAUGCAUCUUUAAAAUAAUUUGCUCUUGUUUAUGAUGCCAUCAUUUCAAUAAUUAUACAAAUAUAAUGUAAUCAUACAAAACUUCAUAUACAUUUUGCGUUUUCCACAAGAAUAAUAGAAUGUUCGAUAGUUGCUAAAAUAAAACUGGUCGCUCCGAUUCGAUUCACCAUCGAAAAGCUCGUAAAUAUUUAUGAAAUUAUCGUACGGGUAAAUCAGUUUCGAGGAUUUGAAUCUUUAACGAAAGGAUGAAUUUACAUGAGUACUCUUCUAAAAAUAGUAAUUUUUUAUCGUGUUAUCAUCGCUCUUAAUAGGUUCGUUAUAUCGACAGUAAUAGCUCCUUCGUGUAUCGAAAAGCAUCGGUCUGACCGAAAUAAUAACGCGGGCGACGGUGGGUAGUUCUUUUGUAGGCCUUGGCGUGCAAGAAGACGGUAAAUAGUUAGAAAGGUGCAAAACUGAGCGCGUUCCUAGUGGCCCAGGGUAUUCGGCCGUGCAAGGUUUUAAAUAAAGCGAUAAAUUUUGAGGGAGCAGAGGGCGCACGGUCCUUAAGUAAAAUCUCCGUUGAACUAGAAGGGAAGAUUUAUAGGAUGUUUAAAUCGGUAAAUAGUUUCGUGCUGGGUAAUCCUUUUUGUAAGAGGAUACGCGUUUAAUAAAAAAAGAAAAAAAAUGAACGAAAAAGCAAAAAACGAAGGAAAGAAAAAAAAGAACCAACAAUUUUUAGAUGCUUAGAGUACGUUCGACACCAAACGUUAUCUCCUUUAAUACUCGCUCCAACGAAACUUGGAAGUACGCUUUCGUAUUAUUUGUUAAAACGAUCUCGGGCAAUUCGCGAGAACUUGGUCCAUUUGCAAAAAGUUGAAGCUCUUUUCUCUUCUUCUCCUUUCUUUCUCCUUCUUACCUUUACUUUCCACUCCUCAGCUUUAUUCGCCUUCUCGGUCGUUGUUCUGGAAUAUCGUUAGGAACUUCACGCGUUCUUAUCUAACGUUACUUAUGGCGAUUUUAAAAACUUAAAGUCGCCUUGAUCAGUCGUUGAAUAUAUUAUGGCCGAACUCUUUCUCUUCCUCUCUCUCUCUCUCUCUCUUCUCAAUACGAAAUAUUUUUCUAAUCAUUCGACCUUUCCUUUUAUAUGUAUGCAUACUUCUAGCAAAAAAUAUAUCUGUAAUUAUAUCUGACAUUGUCUUAAAUUAUUUAUUUCUUUUACUUUCUUUUACCUUCGACAAAAAAAAAAUUAUAAUAAUUUCUGAUAUCAUUACCGAUAUUUCACUUUACUUAGAUGUAGUUCAUUGUUACGGUUAAUCGGUUGAUAACGAAUUUAUGCACAACCGUUCACAGCUUGCGGCGUUCGUUAUUAUGAAACACGUAGGGUAUUGUGUUGAAAGCAAGAGGAUCGUUAGUUCCUUUAAAGUUGUAUACCAGACGUUGACACAGGAAAGAUUAAUGUAUCGAACGAUGGAGGACAAUUUUCUGAAGACCGAUAAAGACCAAAGGAAAAAGACAGCUUCCUGUUCGUGUCGACUGUCUUAUUAAGUUGUCGGUAAAAUUGGAUUAGUAGAUUUAUCGAUUUGCUCGUUAACUAUUAUACGUUUAUAACAUCUCUUUGUGCAUAUAUAUGUGUAUGGAUGUAUAACAUAUUUUUUUUACAAACGCAAUACUCAUACUUUGAUUUUAACGAUUUGAUUAACAUUAAAUCAAUUUUAAUACAAUGUAUUAUAAAUUCGUCGUGUCUCUUAAUGUAACAUUCUUUAAAUAUAGGAGUAUUUGCAAUUAAGAAAAUAAAUAAACAGUUUCGAAAACUCUGUUAACAAGUUUUCGGUAUAGUUUGUAACUACUUUAAAAACGAAAGAAAUGUUUAACAUAUUCCUUAUUCCGAUAAAUACUAAUUUGAUUUAGCCGAGUAUAUUUAUUUACUUGAAUUCUCAUAUCCAUAUUUUUUGUACAACUUCUUUUGUUUGUCUUUCAUAAAGCAGUAAUUUCUUGAUUCGCUUUAAGAGGUAAAGAUAAGGGACUUCCUCGCCUCAACUUUUUCUUUCGUUUAACAAGACUACGUUUACUUUCUUAGACGAUGCUACCUGUCGGGACUUUGAUUUACGGGAUAGCUAACGAUACCAUGGUCGUAAAGGUCGUAACGUUCUAAAGAUGUAGAUAGACCGCACGAAAUAACCAUCUACAAAAGUCCGAGCCACAGAGCGGAUAGUCGUUAAUUACUCGAGUCCGUCGAUAAAGCGUUAUCACCCAAUGGCACACCAAGCGACGACGAACAAACAUGGCUCGAUAUCUAAAAUAAUAAUUAUACCUAUUCUAAAAUAAGCUUAUUGAAUUAUUUCUAAUUUGAUAGUUUUUAUCGAACGAUCAAUAAUGCAUUAUCAUGGAUCAUAUAUUUUUACGCGAUGAAUAAUUCGUCUGGGUUGCGUGUGCAUGCGUGCGUAUGUAGUAUAAUGAACUCAAGUAGCAAUUAACUCCGUAAUUGAUUUCACCGUGCAUAAUUAUUUGGCUAUUUUAAUUAUUCAAUCUGUUAUGGUAACGCAAGACUUAAAAAAUAAGCAAAAAAUUUGAUAGCUUAUCAAAUAGUUACUACGAGAUACGCUUCGUUCUAUCGAGUUUCAUCUAUAUAAUCUCAUUCGUGUCAGUCCCUCUUUACAAAUUCAUAUUUUUUUUAUUUCUUCCAUUUUUGAUCAUGAUGCAUGUUUUUUAAUUAAUAAGUUACUUUUUAGAGAUAGGUAAAGAAAGAUGUCCGUUAUUAUCAUCGUAAAGACAAAAUAACUACUUAAUUUUCUUUAGUGCUUCCGACCAUUAUAAUCUCGCACAUUCGCUCCAAUGAAAAGGUACACGCAGAAACAUACGGAUAUAUACACUUUAAAAAAAAACCUGACGUUAGUAGGAACAUGGCCUUGCGGAAGAGUAAAUUAAAACGCUCGCGGCUUUGGCUGCCGUAGACGUUCCGUCGUUUAUACACAGCUGUACGCGAAUGCGUCUGUCUUUUUGUACGAAAUAGUUGUGUACGUGUGCAUGCAUGUCAAGUUUGCGAGCGACUUCCAAAAAGCUCUACUCGGUCAGAAACGAAGAAACGGGGACUCGUUUGAGCAAAAUAUUAAAUCGCCACGAAAAUAUGUCUUCUUUUCUAUUUCGAGCUUUAUUUUAGAUAUCCAAUGUUUAUAUAAAACGAUAUUCAAAUUCAUAAAAUUUUCGUAUAACGUUAUAAAUGAUAAUAAUUCUGUAUUAUUAUAUAAUAUUUCAGCAUCCUACUUAGAAAACUCUAAUAUUUUAUUCCCUUUAUCGUAGAUUGAUAAAUGUAUCUUAAACAAAUACGUGUCUAUCUUUAACUAUAUAUCCAUAUACAAUAGAUAUGUAUAUAUGCAUACGCAUAUG
Vespula vulgaris is the source of this 4986-nucleotide long non-coding RNA. RefSeq lists it as uncharacterized. The record is from RefSeq and is a predicted model, not a curated record. The transcript has 2 exons. NCBI's taxonomy places the organism in Eukaryota, Metazoa, Arthropoda, Insecta, Hymenoptera, Vespidae.